Molecule: ribosomal RNA, 498 nt
Filed under: uncultured bacterium
Lineage: Bacteria
Description: partial 16S ribosomal RNA
Rfam family: Bacterial small subunit ribosomal RNA
Source: RNAcentral
AUUGAACGCUGGCGGCAUGCCUUACACACGCAAGUCGAACGGUAACGCGGGGCAACCUGGCGACGAGUGGCGAACGGGGGAGUAAUGCAUCGGAACGUGCCCGGUAGUGGGGGAUAACUGCUCGAAAGAGCAGCUAAUACCGCAUACGAACUGAGGGUGAAAGGGGGGGAUCGCAAGACCUCCCGCUAUCGGAGCGGCCGCUGUCGGAUUAGCUAGUUGGUGGGGUAAAAGCCCACCAAGGCGACGAGCCGUAGCUGGUCUGAGAGGACGACCAGCCACACUGGGACUGAGACACGGCCCAGACUCCUACGGGAGGCAGCAGUGGGGAAUUUUGGACAAUGGACGCAAGUCUGAUCCAGCCAUGCCGCGUGCGGGAAGAAGGCCUUCGGGUUGUAAACCGCUUUUGUCAGGGAAGAAAUCUUCUGAGUUAAUACCUCGGGAGGGUGACGGUACCUGAAGAAUAAGCACCGGCUAACUACGUGCCAGCCGCCGCAGUAA